Long non-coding RNA from Octopus sinensis (East Asian common octopus), 816 nucleotides. RefSeq lists it as uncharacterized. The transcript is spliced from 3 exons. The record is from RefSeq and is a predicted model, not a curated record. NCBI's taxonomy places the organism in Eukaryota, Metazoa, Mollusca, Cephalopoda, Octopoda, Octopodidae.
UUGUUUUUUUUUUUACCAUUCUUCACCUUACAGAGCAAGCUUUACGAAGCCAGCAGCAUGUCGGUAGCUUUUGCAAAAUCAUCUGGAGUUCUUACAAUUUCUCAAACGAAUAUUCUUGAAGAGUCAGUAAUGGACUAAGAAAAACUGUCACACGAGCUACAUAAGGUUUUAUGGAGGACAGGAUUUUCCUGAUGACAUGAGAUAAGAGUGGAAACAGAAGGAGAAGCGAGAGAGAGACAUUAAGAAAGAUGAAAAGUUUGUAAGCUGUUUGUUCUAACCCAGCUGCGAAUGAAGAAGUGGAAAGACGAUACUUUGAAAAGGAAAUUUGCCUGUUGCUAACAAGCUAAUCACCGUCAUAGAUUAGCAACACAUAGCUAAUCAAGUCACCUUCUGAUGUUAGCAACACUAGCUCGUCAUUUUUGAAGAUUAAUACCGUCGGCUAAUAACAGCCCACUGAGAUUAGCAACACCAGCUGAUCAUCUUUGGAGAUUAGCAACACUAACAAUAUCAGCAAAUAAUUCACAGAAAUUAGCAACACUAAAAAAUUAAUUCUGGGAGAUUAGCAAUGCGAAUUCACAGUACAAGCAGAUUAGCCAUGCUCACUAAUCACCCUAAAAAAUUAGUCACAUCAGCUAAUAGUCCUCAGAGAUUAGCAACACAAAUUGAUCAUCUUUGAACAUUAGCAACAGUAGUUAAUCACUCACAGAGAUCGGUAACACCAGCUAAUCAUCUUCAAAGACUAACAGCACCAGCUAAUCACCUUCACAGAUUAGCAACACCAGCUAAUCAUCUUCACAGAUUAGCAACAUUGGCUAA